GACGAACGCUGGCGGCGUGCUUAACACAUGCAAGUCGAACGGAAAGGCCCUGCUUUUGUGGGGUGCCCGAUUGCCGAACGGGUGAGUAACACGUGAGUAACCUGCCCUUGACUUUGGGAUAACUUCAGGAAACUGGGGCUAAUAUCGGAUAGGAGCUCCUCCUCCAUGGUGGGGGUUGGAAAGUUUCGGCUGUUGGGGAUGGACUGGCGGCUUAUCAGCUAGUUGGUGGGGUAGGGGCUGACCAAGGCUUGGACGGAUAGCCGGCCUGGGAGGGUGGACGGCCACCAUAGGCCUGCGAUACGGCCCAGACUGCUACGUGAGGCAGCAGUGGAGAAUAUUGCACAGUGGGCGCGCGCCUGUGGCGGCAGCGCCGCGUUCGUGAUGCCGGCCUGCGGGUUGUGAACCGCUGUCGCCUGUGACGAAGCGUGAGUGACGGUAACGAGUAAAGAAGCACCGGCUAACUACGUG
RNAcentral lists this ribosomal RNA (468 nucleotides) under uncultured bacterium. RNAcentral's name for it is "partial 16S ribosomal RNA". It matches the Rfam family "Bacterial small subunit ribosomal RNA", at positions 28 to 507 of the family's 1533-position model. The record is from RNAcentral.